Molecule: ribosomal RNA, 510 nt
Filed under: uncultured bacterium
Lineage: Bacteria
Description: partial 16S ribosomal RNA
Rfam family: Bacterial small subunit ribosomal RNA
Source: RNAcentral
UGGGGAAUAUUGCACAAUGGGCGCAAGCCUGAUGCAGCAACGCCGCGUGAGGGAUGACGGCCUUCGGGUUGUAAAGCACUUUUGUCCGGAAAGAAAACGUCGUGGUUAAUACCCGUGGCGGCUGACGGUACCGGAAGAAUAAGCACCGGCUAACUACGUGCCAGCAGCCGCGGUAAUACGUAGGGUGCAAGCGUUAAUCGGAAUUACUGGGCGUAAAGCGUGCGCAGGCGGUCCGCUAAGACAGAUGUGAAAUCCCCGGGCUUAACCUGGGAACUGCAUUUGUGACUGGCGGGCUAGAGUAUGGCAGAGGGGGGUUAGAAUUCCACGUGUAGCAGUGAAAUGCGUAGAGAUGUGGAGGAAUACCGAUGGCGAAGGCAGCCCCUGGGCCAAUACUGACGCUCAUGCACGAAAGCGUGGGGAGCAAACAGGAUUAGAUACCCUGGUAGUCCACGCCCUAAACGAUGUCAACUAGUUGUCGGGUCUUCAUUGACUUGGUAACGUAGCUAACGC